This 245-nucleotide ribosomal RNA is filed under the name uncultured bacterium. Its description in RNAcentral is "partial small subunit ribosomal RNA". It matches the Rfam family "Bacterial small subunit ribosomal RNA", at positions 26 to 285 of the family's 1533-position model. The record is from RNAcentral.
AGAAUCAACGCUGGCGGCGUGCCUAACACAUGCAAGUCGAACGAGAAAGUGGAGCAAUCCAUGAGUAAAGUGGCGACCGGGUGGGUAACACGUGACUAACCUACCUUCGAGUGGGGGAUAACCUCGGGAAACCGAGGCUAAUACCGCAUAACAUCGUGAGAUCAAAGCAGUAAUGCGCUGGAAGAGGGGGUCGCGGCUGAUUAGCUAGUUGGCGGGGUAAUGGCCCACCAAGGCGAAGAUCGGUA